UACGUAGGUGGCAAGCGUUGUCCGGAAUUAUUGGGCGUAAAGCGCGCGCAGGCGGUCCUUUAAGUCUGAUGUGAAAGCCCACGGCUCAACCGUGGAAGGUCAUUGGAAACUGGAGGACUUGAGUACAGAAGAGGAAAGCGGAAUUCCACGUGUAGCGGUGAAAUGCGUAGAGAUGUGGAGGAACACCAGUGGCGAAAGGCGGCUUUCUGGUCUGUAACUGACGCUGAGGCGCGAAAGCGUGGGGAGCAAACAGG
This 254-nucleotide ribosomal RNA is filed under the name uncultured bacterium. RNAcentral describes it as "partial 16S ribosomal RNA". It matches the Rfam family "Bacterial small subunit ribosomal RNA", at positions 524 to 776 of the family's 1533-position model. The record is from RNAcentral.